RNAcentral lists this ribosomal RNA (710 nucleotides) under uncultured Cryobacterium sp. RNAcentral's name for it is "bacterial SSU rRNA". It matches the Rfam family "Bacterial small subunit ribosomal RNA", at positions 337 to 1046 of the family's 1533-position model. Lineage: Bacteria; Bacillati; Actinomycetota; Actinomycetes; Micrococcales; Microbacteriaceae. The record is from RNAcentral.
UCCUACGGGAGGCAGCAGCGGGGAAUAUUGCACAAUGGGCGCAAGCCUGAUGCAGCAACGCCGCGUGAGGGACGAAGGCCUUCGGGUUGUAAACCUCUUUUAGUAGGGAAGAAGCGACUGGGUUUUCCUGGGAGUGACGGUACCUGCAGAAAAAGCACCGGCUAACUACGUGCCAGCAGCCGCGGUAAUACGUAGGGUGCAAGCGUUGUCCGGAAUUAUUGGGCGUAAAGAGCUCGUAGGCGGUUUGUCGCGUCUGCUGUGAAAACCCGAGGCUCAACCUCGGGCCUGCAGUGGGUACGGGCAGACUAGAGUGCGGUAGGGGAGAUUGGAAUUCCUGGUGUAGCGGUGGAAUGCGCAGAUAUCAGGAGGAACACCAACGGCGAAGGCAGAUCUCUGGGCCGUAACUGACGCUGAGGAGCGAAAGCAUGGGGAGCGAACAGGAUUAGAUACCCUGGUAGUCCAUGCCGUAAACGUUGGGAACUAGAUGUGGGGACCAUUCCACGGUCUCCGUGUCGCAGCUAACGCAUUAAGUUCCCCGCCUGGGGAGUACGGCCGCAAGGCUAAAACUCAAAGGAAUUGACGGGGGCCCGCACAAGCGGCGGAGCAUGCGGAUUAAUUCGAUGCAACGCGAAGAACCUUACCAAGGCUUGACAUAUACCGGAAACGGCUGGAAACAGUCGCCCCGCAAGGUCGGUAUACAGGUGGUGCAU